This is a long non-coding RNA of Rosa chinensis, 1073 nucleotides long. RefSeq lists it as uncharacterized. Lineage: Eukaryota; Viridiplantae; Streptophyta; Magnoliopsida; Rosales; Rosaceae. The transcript is spliced from 4 exons. The record is from RefSeq and is a predicted model, not a curated record.
UGCAGUGCAUAGAUUGACUUGGACACUCAUUAAUUUCACAUAUGCACCAAACUUGAGCCGAAUUUUCAUCUUCAAGAAACAGAAACUCGAAAGACCCUGCAAUAGACGUCAUCGCCAUCCAGAUAGACUCGAUAAGCUUUGUCUCUUGUCUCUUGGAGAUAUCUCUAGCGUGAUUAUCAAUCUAGGACAGAGAUCGAAUCGGGGAUGGAAACUAGCCAUUUCAGUCCGAUCUUGUUGAACUCGUACUAUUCCUGCUUAUCGAAGAUUCGAAGCCUCAGCUUUGUUAGGAUUGCAUCUCUUUGGAACCCGGAAUUGGUAACAACUCCAACCACAAGUUAAUCAUCAAGGUAUAAGUGCAAGCAGGGACUUCGACAGCAAGUGUAGGCAGGAACUUUGACAGAAAAAGCCAUUUCCUUGCUGGGAUUUGGUGGAGGAAGUGAUUCCAGAUUUCUUGUGGAGAAGUGAACAAGCUUCUGUAUUAUCAGCUUAGUCUCAAGUUUCUGAUUUCCUUUCCUCCUUGAUUGCAGGCUAGCUACUGGUCUGUUCUUUGUGUGGCUUGUUUUGCAAGUGGUGCAAGACCAUUUGUUUUGUUGCGUUGGAAAGGAAGGCAGGAGGUAGGAGGCUUCUUGGCGGUGGCCUUGCUAAUUUUUGGAACCAGUGAGAGUCUUUGUGGAAGAAAAGAGGCAUUGGAGCCUUGUUUUCACACUGUUCGGAGGUUUGCUGACACUUUGGAGUGCCAUCACAAGGUUCUGAAUACAACCUUGAUGGAGAUGUAUUGGAUUCGCUGCUGCAACGUAUUCCAUCGGAUUGGUCAUACUCUCGUUGAUACAUAAACACUACUACACAAAGUGAAUCACACGACAUGUAACAGACGACAUACGAUAUUUUGGUGUCGUCUGAGUUAGUCAGACGACAUAUUAGUUAUACUUGUCGUUUCUUCUCAAAAUCAGCCAACACAUUGUAAUCAAUUGGAGUUUGGUGAAAUUGAUAACUGUAAGACAAUAGUUAUUAGGACAUGUGUUGUCUGAGAAAUCAGAAAAAACAAAAAAGUUUAAUUUAUAUUUAUUUUUGUA